Molecule: ribosomal RNA, 521 nt
Filed under: uncultured mycorrhizal ascomycete
Lineage: Eukaryota; Fungi; Ascomycota
Description: eukaryotic LSU rRNA
Rfam family: 5.8S ribosomal RNA (bases 154-307)
Source: RNAcentral
GCGGAGGGAUCAUUACCGAGUUUACAACUCCCAAACCCCUGUGAACAUACCUAUUUGUUGCCUCGGCGGUGCCUGUUCCGACAGCCCGCCAGAGGACCCCAAACCCUGAUUACAUUUAAGAAGUCUUCUGAGUAAACCGAUUAAAUAAAUCAAAACUUUCAACAACGGAUCUCUUGGUUCUGGCAUCGAUGAAGAACGCAGCGAAAUGCGAUAAGUAAUGUGAAUUGCAGAAUUCAGUGAAUCAUCGAAUCUUUGAACGCACAUUGCGCCCGCUAGUAUUCUGGCGGGCAUGCCUGUCCGAGCGUCAUUUCAACCCUCAAGCCCCCGGGCUUGGUGUUGGGGAUCGGCGAGCCUCCGCGCCCGCCGUCCCCUAAAUCUAGUGGCGGUCUCGCUGUAGCUUCCUCUGCGUAGUAGCACACCUCGCACUGGGAAACAGCGCGGCCACGCCGUUAAACCCCCAACUUCUGAACGUUUGACCUCGGAUCAGGUAGGAAUACCCGCUGAACUUAAGCAUAUCAAUA